This 403-nucleotide ribosomal RNA is filed under the name Bacteroidota bacterium. Its description in RNAcentral is "Bacteroidetes bacterium partial 16S ribosomal RNA". It matches the Rfam family "Bacterial small subunit ribosomal RNA", at positions 355 to 776 of the family's 1533-position model. Lineage: Bacteria; Pseudomonadati; Bacteroidota. The record is from RNAcentral.
UGGGGAAUAUUGCACAAUGGAGGGAACUCUGAUGCAGCGACGCCGCGUGAACGAAGAAGGCUUUCGAGUCGUAAAGUUCUUUUAUAUGGGAAGAUAAUGACGGUACCAUAAGAAAAAGCCCCGGCUAACUACGUGCCAGCAGCCGCGGUAAUACGUAGGGGGCUAGCGUUGUCCGGAAUCACUGGGCGUAAAGGGUUCGCAGGCGGAAAUGCAAGUCAGGUGUAAAAGGCAGUAGCUUAACUACUGUAAGCAUUUGAAACUGCAUAUCUUGAGAGGAGUAGGGGUAAGUGGAAUUCCUAGUGUAGCGGUGAAAUGCGUAGAUAUUAAAAAGAAUACCGGUGGCGAAGGCGACUUUCUGAUCUGUAACUGACGCUGAUGUGCGAAAGCGUGGGGAUCAAACAGG